RNAcentral lists this long non-coding RNA (1521 nucleotides) under Salmo salar (Atlantic salmon). Its description in RNAcentral is "lncRNA (ENSSSAG00000120239.1, ENSSSAG00020077616.1)". Lineage: Eukaryota; Metazoa; Chordata; Actinopteri; Salmoniformes; Salmonidae. The record is from RNAcentral.
GUUCGGAUUGGUUUGUCGUCUAGCACGCUUCUGUCCAUAAUGAGCUGCUCAGUAGGUGUAGGUAAUCCUUUCUAACUGGGAUUUUUUUUAAACACACCUCUCCACUUUCUGGAGGACCACAUUUUGAAAUCACUGGAAGCAGAGUAUGAUAGCUAAGGAGAUGGAGAAAAUUCAGGCGUUUGAUUGCAAAUGUGGAAGGAGUCGAAAAGAGAACACAGAAGGCUGUUGUAUAAAACACCUCUCUGGAAUACAUCUUCAAACUAAAGGCAACCAUGGCAUCUAUGACAGAAAAGGAGAAGCCUUCAUUCAUGUUUACAGGUGAAAGAGUCUAGCUAGCUACAUUUUCAGAUAUUAUAAUUUUCAAUUUUGUCAGAGAGUCCCUAAUGUUAGCUAGCUAGCUAACAUUGAACCUAGUUUGUUAGCGUUUAGCUACCUGUAGAUUCAUGCAGGGUAGUAUUGUUAUGAGUUGAGAUUAUAGUUCAUUGUUUAACUAGCUAGCUACAUGUCUAAACAAAAGACUCCACUAUGCAAGUAACCAUUUCACUGUACCAUUUACACCUUCUGUAUCCUGUGCAUGUGAGAAAUAAACUUUGAUUUUAUUUGAUAUAGUGUGUGUUUACCAGAGACAGUAAUGUGAAGAACAACAUUACCCGCACCAAAGUCAAAUUAGGAUAUAACGUUAGGCCAACGAGACAGAGUCCAUGUUCUAAAAUUAUUUCAGUAGAAUGCCCUGCUUUUAUUUCUUCACACUCACAACUGUAAGCUAUUUUCUUUAAUAUUCUGUAACUUGUAAAUAAUGAUCUUGUUGUGAGUUUAUUUUCCUGUAAUAUUGAACUGUAUACAGACAUGUUGACAGACGUAGUAUAAGCCAGCCUUUAGUCUUGAAAUCUUUGGUUGUUUAGUACACGAAUGUACUCACUGUUUAGCACAUGGCCUCACAUGUGAAUCCUUAAAGAGAUGAGUGGUUGUAUGUAUAUAUGUUCAGAACUUUUGUGAAAUAGCACAGUUACAAAUAGAAAUCAAACUGGAUGGACAUCAGAAAUAGAGGAAGGACUAAAAACAAACAAAAUAUAACUAUUGUAAAAUAGAUUGUGUCUGUAAAAUGUGUAUAAGAUAUAUAAACGGAAGGUAGAAGCCUAAGUGUUUAUUGGUUUACUCUAAUUGGGGGAAGGGUGGUAGGGUUUGCAGGGAAUAAUAAAGGUAUAUUCAAAAAAAAGUAUGUAUGUCUAUAUAGGUAUGUGUAUGUAUAUAUGUGUAUAUGUAUGCAUGCGUGUAUGUAUAUGGAUGUAUAUAUUUACCCAAAAAAUAUAUGGGGGAUUGGAAAUGAUGCAGACAAUUACAUUGAUGGAAGCAACAUUCUUUCCGCAAUAUUAAGCUGAUCCACCCCUUAAAAUAAAAAAUAAAAAAAUGAAGAGAUGGGUGGGGGUAAGGCUUAAUACAAAUAUUGAUGAUUGAUGCUGAAUGUGUGUAGACAAAGAAGAACUCUCCAGUAGGCGUACGAAAAUAUUCAAGGGACAUUUU